RNAcentral lists this ribosomal RNA (1461 nucleotides) under human gut metagenome. RNAcentral describes it as "bacterial LSU rRNA". It matches the Rfam family "Bacterial large subunit ribosomal RNA", at positions 1153 to 2492 of the family's 2925-position model. The record is from RNAcentral.
GUGGUUCCGCGCCGACAAUGUAGCGGGGCUCAAGCACACCACCGAAGACGCGGCAACAGUUUUUGCUGUUGGGUAGGAGAGCGUCCCGCGUGGGGCGAAGCGGCCGGGGAACCGUGCCGUGGACCGCGCGGGAGUGAGAAUGCAGACAUGAGUAGCGAGAGACGGGUGAGGAUCCCGUCCGCUGGAUGACCAAGGGUUCCGGGGCCACGUUCGUCGUCCCCGGGUGAGUCGGGUCCUAAGGCGAGGCCGACAGGCGUAGUCGAAUGGAUGAACGGGUGGAUAUUCCCGUACCGGCGGCGUACCGUAAGAGCCGAACGGAUGAGUACUAACCUCCGGUCGCGUGGCGUCGUUCCCUUCGGGGUUCGGGGUCCGCGGUCGUUGGGAGCGUAGUCCUGGUAGGCUAGCGCACAGGGGUGACACGGAAUGGGAGCCGGCCGCGGAGGUGGUUUUCCGUGGUCAAGCACGCAGCCCGUCCCAUAGGCAAAUCCGUGGGACGCAUAGGGUGAGGUGUGAUGAUGGGCGUCCUUUGGACGCGAUAUCCGGUGGUCCAGGCCGUCGAGAAAAGCCUCGGCGCGAGGGGCGUCGCCGCCCGUACCCCAAACCGACACUGGUGGUCAGGUAGAGAAUACCAAGGCGAUCGAGCGAAUCCUGGUCAAGGAACUCGGCAAAUCACUCCCGUGCCUUCGGUAUAAGGGAGACCCCCGGGCGUGAAGAGGCUUGCCCUCGGAGCGUUGGGGGGUGGCACAGACCAGGGGGUAGCGACUGUUUACCAAAAACACAGGUGCAUGCGAAGGCGCAAGCCGCUGUAUAUGCACUGACGCCUGCCCGGUGCCGGAAGGUUAAGAGGAUCCGUCAGCCCCUUUUGGGGUGAAGCGGUGAAUUCAAGCCCCGGUAAACGGCGGUGGUAACUAUAACCAUCCUAAGGUAGCGAAAUUCCUUGUCGGGUAAGUUCCGACCUGCACGAAUGGCGUAACGACUUCCCCACUGUCUCGACCAGGAGCUCGGCGAAAUUGCAGUACGAGUAAAGAUGCUCGUUAAGCGCAGAAGGACGAAAAGACCCCGGGACCUUUACUAUACCUUGGUAUUGGCGUUAGGCGCGGAUUGUGUAGCAUAGGCGGGAGGCUUCGAAGCAUGGGCGCCAGCCCGUGUGGAGCCGCAAGGUGAAAUACCGCUCUGUUCUCGUUUGACGUCUAACCUCGAACAGUCAUCCUGUUCAGGGACAGUGCCUGGCGGGUAGUUUAACUGGGGCGGUUGCCUCCCAAAGAGUAACGGAGGCGCUCAAAGGUCCGCUCAGCCCGGUUGGCAAUCGGGUUUCGAGUGUAAUCGCACAAGCGGGCUUGACUGCGAGAACGACGGUUCGGGCAGGGACGAAAGUCGGAGAUAGUGAUCCGGUGCCGGCGCACGGGCGCGGCAUCGCUCAACGGAUAAAAGGUACCCCGGGGAUAACAGGCUGAUCAUUCC